CCUACGGGAGGCAGCAGUGAGGAAUAUUGGUCAAUGGGCGGAAGCCUGAACCAGCCAAGUAGCGUGCAGGAUGACGGCCCUACGGGUUGUAAACUGCUUUUAUACGGGAAUAACGCGCCUUACGUGUAGGGCUUUGCAUGUACCGUAUGAAUAAGGACCGGCUAAUUCCGUGCCAGCAGCCGCGGUAAUACGGAAGGUCCGGGCGUUAUCCGGAUUUAUUGGGUUUAAAGGGUGCGUAGGCCGGAUGCCAAGUUUGCGGUGAAAUGCCCGGGCUCAACCCGGGCCUUGCAGCGCGUACUGGCGUGCUUGAGACCGCGGAAAGCAGGCGGAA
This 331-nucleotide ribosomal RNA is filed under the name uncultured bacterium. Its description in RNAcentral is "partial 16S ribosomal RNA". It matches the Rfam family "Bacterial small subunit ribosomal RNA", at positions 338 to 666 of the family's 1533-position model. The record is from RNAcentral.